ACGCCCGUAGCUCAAUUUGGUAGAGCAACGGAUUCCAAAUCCGUAGGUUGGGGGUUCAAGUCCUCCCGGGCGUG
RNAcentral lists this transfer RNA (74 nucleotides) under Candidatus Dadabacteria bacterium. Its description in RNAcentral is "tRNA-Trp". It matches the Rfam family "tRNA". From Rfam's summary of the family: Transfer RNA (tRNA) molecules are approximately 80 nucleotides in length. Their secondary structure includes four short double-helical elements and three loops (D, anti-codon, and T loops). Lineage: Bacteria; Pseudomonadati; Thermodesulfobacteriota; Candidatus Dadabacteria. The record is from RNAcentral.